CCUACGGGAGGCAGCAGUAAGGAAUAUUGGUCAAUGGACGCAAGUCUGAACCAGCCAUGCCGCGUGAAGGAUUAAGGUCCUCUGGAUUGUAAACUUCUUUUAUUUGGGACGAAAAAAGGGUCUUUCUAGACCAACUGACGGUACCAGAUGAAUAAGCACCGGCUAACUCCGUGCCAGCAGCCGCGGUAAUACGGAGGGUGCAAGCGUUAUCCGGAUUCACUGGGUUUAAAGGGUGCGUAGGCGGGUAGGUAAGUCAGUGGUGAAAUCUUCGAGCUUAACUCGGAAACUGCCAUUGAUACUAUUUAUCUUGAAUAUUGUGGAGGUAAGCGGAAUAUGUCAUGUAGCGGUGAAAUGCUUAGAUAUGACAUAGAACACCUAUUGCGAAGGCAGCUUACUACGCAUAUAUUGACGCUGAGGCACGAAAGCGUGGGGAUCAAACAGGAUUAGAUACCCUGGUAGUCCACGCCCUAAACUAUGAUUACUCGACAUUUGUGAUACACAAUAAGUAGUNUGAGAGAAGACGAUAAGUAAGUACCACCGUCGGAAGGUACGGUAACCGUCCGAAGGAAGUUAGUAAACGUUAAAGUUAAGUAAGUUAGUUACGGCGUGAGGACGUUAGCCGACGGACGACGACGACGGGGAGGUUAGG
This 649-nucleotide ribosomal RNA is filed under the name uncultured bacterium. RNAcentral's name for it is "bacterial SSU rRNA". The stretch from base 1 to 539 matches the Rfam family "Bacterial small subunit ribosomal RNA", at positions 338 to 873 of the family's 1533-position model. The record is from RNAcentral.